This 1008-nucleotide long non-coding RNA is filed under the name Mus spicilegus (steppe mouse). RNAcentral's name for it is "lncRNA (ENSMSIG00000006932.1)". The record is from RNAcentral. Lineage: Eukaryota; Metazoa; Chordata; Mammalia; Rodentia; Muridae.
CCAGGCUAUGGUAAGGCCACAGACAGGCACCAGUGUAUAGAACUAUGAUGAGCAAAAGCUCGCUUCCUUCCUGUUUCAGAGAAAUAAAAGUUCUCACUACUCACUUACUAUAUUUACAAAACCUCCUGGAUCACCAGUGACCUCUCUCCUGGUUGGUUUCACCAACAUUUUGUAUCAGCAGCUUGUGUCCACUGCAGGGAAGCUAGGGUGGAUGAGGGCUGCUCGAGUUUGCUAUUCCUCGACAUUAUAGACAUUAUAUGUUGCUCUUUUAGCCAUCCAGCUGAGGUGCUCUGCAAAAGUAAUCUCUAUCCCAUAUCCUUUACCUCAAACAUGGCUUUGUGAGGUCAGCAAUGUCACCAAGGAAUCCUACGUCAAUGCAGAGUGGACAUCAAAGAGCUUUCUUUAACAGAAGACUUGCAGCAGAGACUAGAGGCAUGUGUGGGGAAUGUUUUCAAGGGAGCGUAUCAUGAAAAGUGUCGGGUAGUGUGUUGCCAACACUCAGAACACAGCAAGGGCAUGCAGCGUGGAGCCUGAUGGGCCCUACAACUCCAUUUAGAGAUCACAGCUCUCAAGAGGACUACUCUGAAAGAAUACUAGAUAACCAAGUUCAUCAGUCACAUAGACAAUGGAAGUGAGGAAUGAUGCAGAAGCCCGGGAACAAAUAAUCUUCACAGGAGAUGAACUUGACACCUUUAGUAGCAAACAACAGACAACAAGACUGCAAACUCUUCUAAGCACAUGGAAUGCCUUAUCAGACAGCUUUCAUUUUCAUCAUUCACUUUGGAAUGUGUCUGCAGAGUCAGCCAUUGCAACACCCACAUGCAGAAGCCUGUAGAGACAGAGGUUGUAACUCAAGGAGGUUUUCAGAUUCCUUUUUUUUCCCCCUGAUUUACAUAAGUGUAGCACCAUAAACCAUUAUUCUGUCUCGAGCAUCUGUUUAAGUGAAACUGUGCUACCUGGAGAUUUGUGAUUCCAUGUGUUAAUUGUAGUUGUAAUGUUUGAUCCUAU